Molecule: long non-coding RNA, 368 nt
Filed under: Homo sapiens (human)
Lineage: Eukaryota; Metazoa; Chordata; Mammalia; Primates; Hominidae
Description: HSALNT0226697
Source: RNAcentral
GACGGUGGUGUUCUGGACCUAGCUCGGUCAAGGAGCGGUGGUGAGGUUCUGCCACUGACACGCUCGUAGGCAGAAAGGGGCACCCUGGGGCUGGUGAGGUUUGCAGAGGCUGGAGCCUGUGGUGUUCUGGAGCUGGAGGGAUAGUUUGCAGCAGUUGGUGGUGUGCCAGAGCCUGUGAGACUCAGAGCUGCCAAGGCAGCUGGGGUUCUGGCCCCUGCUAGGUUCACAGCUGGGGCUGUGGGAGUGCGAGGGUCAGCCAGGUUCACAGCCGAAGGUGCCACCGCUGUUCUGGGGCUGGCCAAGUUCAUGGCUGCCGCAGAGGCUGCAGGAAUCCUGCUGGCAAGGUUGGCUGCUGGUGCGGUUCUGAG